CGUUGCCGCGGCAACGUUCAGAUCUCGCGAGAGUGAACUCUAGCCCUGCAAGCUAGAGUUCACUAUCACCACUAAGACAACCAGGGAUGGCAGCAAGGAUCCUCCCUCCCAGGCAAAAGGUAAGAAGGGAUGGGGGAUCCUUCUUACCUUUCCUAAUCUGUUCCCCCACCACCACACACAAUCACUCCAAACAAAUUCACACACACACUCUCACAGCACCAGCACCCUCACACACAGCACACUAACAGCACCC
Molecule: non-coding RNA, 253 nt
Organism: Pelobates cultripes (western spadefoot toad)
Lineage: Eukaryota; Metazoa; Chordata; Amphibia; Anura; Pelobatidae
Source: the annotation of a GenBank genome assembly